AAUUCGUGGUGCGAGCAUUAUUGAAUCAAUAUUUUUAAUCGUUGUCAUGCCUCAUAGAAACUUUCUCCCUCAAUUUGUCUAAAACAACAAUUUCUUUUCUUAGUU
Molecule: small nucleolar RNA, 105 nt
Organism: Gossypium raimondii (Peruvian cotton)
Lineage: Eukaryota; Viridiplantae; Streptophyta; Magnoliopsida; Malvales; Malvaceae
Rfam family: Plant small nucleolar RNA R71
About the family: R71 is a member of the C/D box family of snoRNAs containing the C (UGAUGA) and D (CUGA) box motifs. Multiple nearly identical copies of this snoRNA have been identified in Arabidopsis, and it is thought to function as a 2'-O-ribose methylation guide for 18S ribosomal RNA.
Source: Rfam